CCAAAUGCUGAUCCACAAUCACAAAGACCCAAGAGGCUAAAGAGGCCAAAGAAGAGUGUAAAUGAAAAUCUUGAACCAGCAUUUACUGUCACACCUGUAGUUGAUUCGGCACAGGUUCAAUAUCCACCUAUGAAUGAGUUUGGUUCUACACAUACAAAUACAUAAAUUAUGUAGUAAAGAAAGCUUAGACCCAUUGAUGGGGCAGCAAGGCGUAGUUUAACGGGUGGACUGCCAGGUCAACUUAUCUCAGAAUAGGGACCAGGUUUCCACUAUUAGCUUUUUUGUUUUCGAAGCAUAAUUCUGGAGCAGCAUACAGGGAAAGCAAGCUUAGCACUGCUGUGGCAUGUACAUAAAUUUUUUGCUUUUGGGUUAGGGCGAUAUUUGGUUCUGGGUUAACUGGUUCGAAGAUCAUAUUUUGUAGAUGUGUUUACUUCAUAUUUAUGCUGGUAUAUAUUCCAGGUCUAGCAUACCUCUGCCCACAAUCAGAAGCCGUGGGUUGGGGAAAUUUGGCUUUAUUAUUUAUUACUGGAUACCUUGUGGAAAUAGAAAUUUUGUGCCCAACCUAUAUCAAGCUGCCAAGAC
Molecule: unclassified non-coding RNA, 582 nt
Filed under: Hevea brasiliensis (rubber tree)
Lineage: Eukaryota; Viridiplantae; Streptophyta; Magnoliopsida; Malpighiales; Euphorbiaceae
Source: RNAcentral